AAUGUGUACUAUUCCAAAACGUUAACUCUUGUGAUAAAAUAAAUUGCUAUUAAGAUACUGAUUACUUUUAUAACAUUCUGACUUACUUUGCUUGUUUGAGUAUUUAUCAUUUGUCACAUGACUUUUAUAGGUACAAGGAAUAUGUAUAAGAUCUCCUAUUUGUAUGGAAGUACAAAAUCAAAUACUAUAAGCUUGUUGUAAACCUAAACAACAAAUCAAGGAUCAUUGGUGGAAAACAACGAUUCCAUUAAGGUGAGUUCAUUACCUGCACAAGGUAUAAAAUGGACCAACAAUUCUGCCUCCGCUAUUAAGGAUUACAGGCUCUACCGUGAUACUUUGGCUAAUAAAAGGUGGAGGUGCCCCGACUGGCAUUAUGAGAGGUAAACCUUUAUCAUUAUUUUUGUUGUAUAUGUAUAUUAAUGUGUAAAUCCACUAUAUGUUAUGUAGAGUAAUGUGUAUGUAUGUGUUUCU
This 471-nucleotide long non-coding RNA is filed under the name Carica papaya (papaya). Its description in RNAcentral is "long non-coding RNA (CPAP_LNC003604)". Lineage: Eukaryota; Viridiplantae; Streptophyta; Magnoliopsida; Brassicales; Caricaceae. The record is from RNAcentral.